GAAGAUCGCAAUGGUUUUCGUCGUGGUGAUAGGGCGCAUGGGCAGGAUGGUAUAGCCAUCCGGCGAAAGCACCCAUGCGCGGUAAGCAGGCUCCUGACGGGGCCUUUUUUUAUGCCCGGAG
Non-coding RNA from Rhizobium yanglingense, 121 nucleotides. The record is from Rfam. NCBI's taxonomy places the organism in Bacteria, Pseudomonadati, Pseudomonadota, Alphaproteobacteria, Hyphomicrobiales, Rhizobiaceae.